UGGGUAGUAGCGAAGUGGUAACGCAGUGGACUCUGAAUCCAUAAUCAUAGGUUCGAUCCCUAUCUACCCAAGCA
This 74-nucleotide transfer RNA is filed under the name Lacticaseibacillus rhamnosus. Its description in RNAcentral is "tRNA-Gln". It matches the Rfam family "tRNA". From Rfam's summary of the family: Transfer RNA (tRNA) molecules are approximately 80 nucleotides in length. Their secondary structure includes four short double-helical elements and three loops (D, anti-codon, and T loops). Further hydrogen bonds mediate the characteristic L-shaped molecular structure. tRNAs have two regions of fundamental functional importance: the anti-codon, which is responsible for specific mRNA codon recognition, and the 3' end, to which the tRNAs corresponding amino acid is attached (by aminoacyl-tRNA synthetases). tRNAs cope with the degeneracy of the genetic code in two manners: having more than one tRNA (with a specific anti-codon) for a particular amino acid; and 'wobble' base-pairing, i.e. permitting non-standard base-pairing at the 3rd anti-codon position. RNAcentral also lists the same sequence under 17 other names. The record is from RNAcentral. Lineage: Bacteria; Bacillati; Bacillota; Bacilli; Lactobacillales; Lactobacillaceae.